CAAAGCAGGAGUUCGCCUAAAUAAUCCGUGGGGGAUAAGGAAACGCCGUCCUUAAGGGGGAUCCAUGGUCACAGUUCAUCAUUAGGGAACACCAAGGCAAGAACUUAAAGCAGGAACCUGGAGGCAGAGACUGAAGCAGAAGCCAUGGAGGAAUACUGCUUACUGACUUGCUGUCCAUGGCUCACCUAUGUUACAAAGACCAGGCUCACCUGCCUAGGAAUGGCACCGCUCACAGUGGGCUCGACCCUUCUAUGCUAAUAAGCAAUCAAGAAAAUCACCCCGGAUGUGCCUACAGUCCAUUCUAAGGGAACCAUUUACUCAAAUGAAGUCCCCUCUUCCCAGGUCUGUCAAACUGAUGGCUGAAGCCAAUGACAGAAAGUUGACCACAGAUGAUUGCUGUAUUUUUUUAUUUUACACACCUCAGCUGCAUCUAUUGAGGUAACCACAUGGUUUUUCCUGUAUUCUGGGGACGGACAAUUUGUUUAAAAUACCAAUGAACGGUGGCACAUGCCUUUAAUCUCAACACUUGAGAAGCUGUGAGCAGGGAGACUGCUGAAAGUUCAAGGCCAGCCUAGGACACAUCAUGUGACCCUGUCUCAAAAUAAAACAAACAAACCAAAAAAGACUAUCAAACUGAGGUAACCCUUUUAGGGGAUAAAGGUCAUUCUGUCUUCCUAUACCAGUCUGGAAGUGUUCCCCCUGUUAGCAGUUCCUGGAAAAACAAAUAUUUACUGUCCUUGACUGUUUAGUGGUAUCUACCACUGGGACUGGGUGUAUCAUUUCUAGGAAGAGAUGCAAUCAUGCACUGA
Molecule: long non-coding RNA, 809 nt
Filed under: Mus pahari (shrew mouse)
Lineage: Eukaryota; Metazoa; Chordata; Mammalia; Rodentia; Muridae
Description: lncRNA (MGP_PahariEiJ_G0004057.1)
Source: RNAcentral